UGCAUCGAUUGGAAGAACGCAGCGAAAUGCGAUACUGUAGUGUGAAUUGCAGAAUUCCGCGAAUCAUCGAGUCUUUGAACGCAAGUUGCGCCCGAGGCUUGUCCGAGGGCAUUUCCGCUAGAGCGUCACCGCGCCCCCCACCGAUCCACUCUCGCCGCGAGGCGCAAGUCGGGUCGAGUGCAAGUGGCCGUCCCGGCGAAGUGGCCUUCUUUCACGAGAAGGCCGUUCUUGGAAGGGUCGGCUGAAAUGGAUGGAAUCGAGCCGCCGUGGUGACACAGUCCGCGAUCGGGUGAUUUUGUCGCGAGCCUCCUCCGGGAGGCUCUUGGUGAAUUUUUCUAAGUGCUUGGCUGCGUCUCCCAGUUGGCUUUGGUUACCUCAUGCAGGUCGAGCGCGCCCCCGCGGCGCGCGUCACGCAUCAGACCUCUAAUCGGAAA
This is a ribosomal RNA of 434 nucleotides. The stretch from base 12 to 128 matches the Rfam family "5.8S ribosomal RNA", at positions 38 to 154 of the family's 154-position model.